UGCCAGCAGCCGCGGUAAUACGGGAGGGGCAAGCGUUAUUCGGAAUUACUGGGCGUAAAGGGUUCGUAGACUGUAUAGUAAGUUAUUAGUUAAAUCUUAAAAAAAUACUUUAAACAAGCUAAUAAUACUGUUAUACUAGAGUUUUAAUUAGAAGAAUAGAAUUUCAUAUGAAGAGGUAAAAUUCGUAGAUAUAUGAAGGAAUAUCAUAAGUGAAAACGAUUCUUUAUUAAAAACUGACGUUGAGGAACGAAAGCAUAGGUAGCAAACAGGAUUAGAUA
RNAcentral lists this ribosomal RNA (278 nucleotides) under uncultured bacterium. Its description in RNAcentral is "partial 16S ribosomal RNA". It matches the Rfam family "Bacterial small subunit ribosomal RNA", at positions 506 to 784 of the family's 1533-position model. The record is from RNAcentral.